This 497-nucleotide ribosomal RNA is filed under the name uncultured bacterium. Its description in RNAcentral is "partial 16S ribosomal RNA". It matches the Rfam family "Bacterial small subunit ribosomal RNA", at positions 28 to 507 of the family's 1533-position model. The record is from RNAcentral.
GAUGAACGCUGGCGGCGUGCCUAAUACAUGCAAGUCGAGCGAACGGACGAGAAGCUUGCUUUUCUGAUGUUAGCGGCGGACGGGUGAGUAACACGUGGAUAACCUACCUAUAAGACGGGGAUAACUUCGGGAAACCGGAGCUAAUACCGGAUAAUAUUUUGAACCGCAUGGUUCAAAAGUGAAAGACGGUCUUGCUGUCACUUAUAGAUGGAUCCGCGCUGCAUUAGCUAGUGGGUAAGGUAACGGCUUACCAAGGCAACGAUGCAUAGCCGACCUGAGAGGGUGAUCGGCCACACUGGAACUGAGACACGGUCCAGACUCCUACGGGAGGCAGCAGUAGGGAAUCUUCCGCAAUGGGCGAAAGCCUGACCGAGCAACGCCGCGUGAGUGAUGAAGGUCUUCGGAUCGUAAAACUCUGUUAUUAGGGAAGAACAUAUGUGUAAGUAACUGUGCACAUCUUGACGGUACCUAAUCAGAAAGCCACGGCUAACUACGUG